Molecule: ribosomal RNA, 301 nt
Filed under: uncultured bacterium
Lineage: Bacteria
Description: partial 16S ribosomal RNA
Rfam family: Bacterial small subunit ribosomal RNA
Source: RNAcentral
CAGUCGCCACGGUAAUACGUAGGUGGCAAGCGUUGUCCGGAAUUAUUGGGCGUAAAGGGCUCGCAGGCGGUUUCUUAAGUCUGAUGUGAAAGCCCCCGGCUCAACCGGGGAGGGUCAUUGGAAACUGGGAAACUUGAGUGCAGAAGAGGAGAGUGGAAUUCCACGUGUAGCGGUGAAAUGCGUAGAGAUGUGGAGGAACACCAGUGGCGAAGGCGACUCUCUGGUCUGUAACUGACGCUGAGGAGCGAAAGCGUGGGGAGCGAACAGGAUUAGAGACCCCUGUAGUCCCUGUCCCUUAUAC